RNAcentral lists this ribosomal RNA (292 nucleotides) under uncultured bacterium. RNAcentral describes it as "partial 16S ribosomal RNA". It matches the Rfam family "Bacterial small subunit ribosomal RNA", at positions 505 to 796 of the family's 1533-position model. The record is from RNAcentral.
GUGUCAGCAGCCGCGGUAAUACGGAGGAUGCAAGCGUUAUCCGGAAUGAUUGGGCGUAAAGCGUCCGCAGGUGGCUAUGUAAGUCUGCUGUUAAAGAGUCUAGCUCAACUAGAUAAGGGCGGUAGAAACUACAUGGCUAGAGUGCGUUAGGGGCAGAGGGAAUUCCUGGUGUAGCGGUGAAAUGCGUAGAGAUCAGGAAGAACACCGGUGGCGAAAGCGCUCUGCUAUGCCGCAACUGACACUGAGGGACGAAAGCUAGGGGAGCGAAUGGGAUUAGAAACCCUAGUAGUCC